This 261-nucleotide ribosomal RNA is filed under the name uncultured bacterium. Its description in RNAcentral is "partial 16S ribosomal RNA". It matches the Rfam family "Bacterial small subunit ribosomal RNA", at positions 524 to 784 of the family's 1533-position model. The record is from RNAcentral.
UACGGAGGGUGCAAGCGUUAUCCGGAUUCACUGGGUUUAAAGGGUGCGUAGGUGGGUCUGUAAGUCAGUGGUGAAAUCUUCGAGCUUAACUCGGAAACUGCCAUUGAUACUAUAGAUCUUGAAUUUUCUGGAGGUAAGCGGAAUAUGUCAUGUAGCGGUGAAAUGCUUAGAUAUGACAUAGAACACCAAUUGCGAAGGCAGCUUACUACGGGAACAUUGACACUGAGGCACGAAAGCGUGGGGAUCAAACAGGAUUAGAUA